RNAcentral lists this ribosomal RNA (467 nucleotides) under uncultured bacterium. RNAcentral describes it as "partial 16S ribosomal RNA". It matches the Rfam family "Bacterial small subunit ribosomal RNA", at positions 28 to 506 of the family's 1533-position model. The record is from RNAcentral.
GACGAACGCUGGCGGCGUGCUUAACACAUGCAAGUCGAACGGAAAGGCCCUGCUUUUGUGGGGUGCUCGAGUGGCGAACGGGUGAGUAACACGUGAGUAACCUGCCCUUGACUUUGGGAUAACUUCAGGAAACUGGGGCUAAUACCGGAUAGGAGCUCCUGCUGCAUGGUGGGGGUUGGAAAGUUUCGGCGGUUGGGGAUGGACUCGCGGCUUAUCAGCUUGUUGGUUGGGUAGUGGCUUACCAAGGCUUUGACGGGUAGCCAGCCUGAGAGGGUGACCGGCCACAUUGGGCCUGAGAUACGGCCCAGACUCAUUCGGGAGGCAGCAGUGGGGAAUAUUGCACAAUGGGCGGAGGCCUGAUGCAGCAACGCCGCGUGCGGGAUGACGGCCUUCGGGUUGUAAACCGCUUUCGCCUGUGACGAAGCGUGAGUGACGGUACUGGGUAAAGAAGCACCGGCAAACUACGU